Long non-coding RNA from Cavia porcellus (domestic guinea pig), 462 nucleotides. RefSeq lists it as uncharacterized. The transcript is spliced from 2 exons. NCBI's taxonomy places the organism in Eukaryota, Metazoa, Chordata, Mammalia, Rodentia, Caviidae. The record is from RefSeq and is a predicted model, not a curated record.
UCUCUGGGCAGGAGGGCCGCAGGCUUAUCAGACACCAGCUACAAUAAUUAACCAUGCAAGCAAAUAAAAACAAGUAUCGGGCAGCGGAUGCUCAUGGGUGACCCGCAGCUCCAGACUGACGAAAGCCAGUUGGCUCGGCCUCUGCAUCCACCAUGGCUUUCCUCAGUCUCCGAACCCUGUUUCACUCACCUGUUCCCUCCACCCUGUCUACCAUCAUUCGCUUCCAGAUCUCCUGCACUCUCACCCUUAAAACCCCUUCUCCCCGGGGCUCCCUCUUUUGCUGCAGUUUCUUCACUAGAAGCUUGGGCCGGGCUAGAGAGCCGAGAGACAGCAGCACGGACUCGCCACGGAGCAGGCCCUCUCCUGCCCGCCCACCACCAGCUCCGAGCAGAAACAUUUGCUGAGCGUGAGCAGAUCCUUCCGGUCCCAUCCCUCAUCUCCCAGUAAAUCUGUAAUUAUUUC